RNAcentral lists this ribosomal RNA (582 nucleotides) under uncultured bacterium. RNAcentral's name for it is "bacterial SSU rRNA". It matches the Rfam family "Bacterial small subunit ribosomal RNA", at positions 338 to 916 of the family's 1533-position model. The record is from RNAcentral.
CCUACGGGAGGCAGCAGUGGGGAAUUUUGGACAAUGGACGAAAGUCUGAUCCAGCCAUGCCGCGUGCGGGAAGAAGGCCUUCGGGUUGUAAACCGCUUUUGUCAGGGAAGAAAUCCUUUGAGUUAAUACCUCGGGGGGAUGACGGUACCUGAAGAAUAAGCACCGGCUAACUACGUGCCAGCAGCCGCGGUAAUACGUAGGGUGCAAGCGUUAAUCGGAAUUACUGGGCGUAAAGCGUGCGCAGGCGGUUAUAUAAGACAGAGGUGAAAUCCCUGGGCUCAACCUGGGAACUGCCUUUGUGACUGUAUAGCUUGAGUGCGGCAGAGGGGGAUGGAAUUCCGCGUGUAGCAGUGAAAUGCGUAGAUAUGCGGAGGAACACCGAUGGCGAAGGCAAUCCCCUGGGCCUGCACUGACGCUCAUGCACGAAAGCGUGGGGAGCAAACAGGAUUAGAUACCCUGGUAGUCCACGCCCUAAACGAUGUCAACUGGUUGUUGGGAAGGUUCCUUCUCAGUAACGUAGCUAACGCGUGAAGUUGACCGCCUGGGGAGUACGGCCGCAAGUUGAACUUAAGGAAUUGACGG